GCAAUGGCAAGCUCUCAAGAAUAGGCAAUAACAUCAUUCAUUUUCUUACAAAGAAAUUCCAGUUUUCUUGUGGUGAAAAGUCUACUGACUGUAACAGCAGAAGCUGAAACUCCAGUCGGUGCUGUUUCCAUAAGGAGAAUUCAUAGGUAAUGAAUGCUCUUUCCUUGAAUCUAAUCAUAAAUGAUUUCAUCUCUUAUAUGUUCUACAGGGUUCCUUCAGAUAUUCCAUUAUAUGAUAUCCUAAAUGUAUUCCAAAAGGGAAACAAUCAUAUGGUCGUUGUAGUCAAGGUCAAGGAGAAGACUAAGAACUCUGCGCUUUCCAGUAAUGGAGAGAAACAUGGGGAAAAGUCUUUUACCUCUGGGAUAUCUCCACUUGUCACUCCCUUGCUCACAAAACAUUGACAAUGAUUUGGGAAGUAAUGAUUUUGAUAUAUUUUUUACUUCUCUAUUAAUAAGAACUCAGAGUACAAGAGAGUGAUAAAAAGUCUAAAUUAGGGAACCUGGGGAUCAAGAAGCGCACCCGGACAUCUCAACUAGGUUGAUACCCCUUAAACGCCAAUCACUAUUUCCCAAGCAUACAAAAACAGAACUUUCUAAAAUUAAUUAGAGGCCAGAAGAUAAUAAAAAACCAUAAGAAAAUCUAACACCUGAGAAUGCCAAAAACAUACAAACAUAAAAGUUCCAAGGCUAAAAAUGAAGCAAUCCACCAAGACUUCAAAACACAGAAAGAGGCCUGCUGUAAGAAUCCUUCAAACUGAAUAUUCUGCAAACUGAAACCUCAACUGCAAUGCUGGUUGAGAGAGAAAAACAGUCCAGUUGGGGCAAAUGGCUUGAAUGGAAUAAUCUUCAAACUCCUUAUUUAAGGAGCACCAAACUGCUGCAUUAUGUUCUACGGAGAAUGUGACUGCAACAACUAGAGUGUGCAAUUUGUUUGAAGAUAUUGAAGAUGGGGAAAUUAUUAGGAUUAUCACUUUAGAGGAUAUUUUUGUGGAACUUCUGCAAGUGAUCACAACUUCAGAGGAGGAAAAAAUUGUAGAUGAGGCAGGCGUAUAUGUGGAUGUCUAUAAACGUGUAGGAUAUGUGUGGUUGCGGCUGCAGCUGUGGCACUAGCUCCAUCAGCUUGUAGGCUGCCACUUGACAGGCCAAAAGUCCACCGGAGUUCAAAGUAGGAAAGUCAAGAUCCAGGAGAGCUGCGGAAGAUUAUAGAUUCAAUGAUAUUUAAGGAUAAGGAGUCGCACUGGUACUUCAACCGAGUGAUAAAAGAUUAACGAAUCAACCAAGUUUCCAAAGGAAUUCUAUUCCGUGCUUCACCAAGCUUAAACUCUCCAUCUUCUGUAGUUUUGACCAAAUUUUUACUUUUAGCUUUUAUCACAAUUACUUCAAAAAAAUAAUUACGAAGUAGUAUGAAUUUUCUCGUUCUUGUACACAGUAUAGAGGAUAACAGUAGCUGGAAAAGGAAGACCACCAAAUAUUCUUUUAUCUGGCUAAUUAGAAACAACUUCAAAAUAUCAUGGACGCAUGGAGGAGUGGCAAUACUGGAAUUACUGAAUUUUAUCACUCUAAAGAAAACAAUGUUACAUUAUGGUUGAAAAUCAUCGAUAAGGUCUUUUCUUUUCAUUAUAAUCUAAAAAAUUGUUAAUAUUUGCAUCCAUGCUAUUUGAUUCA
Molecule: long non-coding RNA, 1664 nt
Organism: Cucumis sativus (cucumber)
Lineage: Eukaryota; Viridiplantae; Streptophyta; Magnoliopsida; Cucurbitales; Cucurbitaceae
Exons: 7
Source: RefSeq, a predicted model, not a curated record